RNAcentral lists this ribosomal RNA (2133 nucleotides) under Triticum aestivum (bread wheat). RNAcentral describes it as "partial small subunit ribosomal RNA". Lineage: Eukaryota; Viridiplantae; Streptophyta; Magnoliopsida; Poales; Poaceae. The record is from RNAcentral.
AUGGGACUGCAUGAGCUAUGGGAAGUAUGGGAGAUCAAGUUUCUGCUGCUUAUAAGCUUACUGUUGCAAGUGCUACUGCUUAUCUUCACCGAGUGUCGUCGGUUUGUAAAAUGGCCCCUUCUGUCAACGGCGUUGAAUGGCGCCCUCUGGCUUCUGUACCAAAUGGCUGACUCCAUCGCUUUAUACGUGCUCGGCCACAUGUCCCUGAAAACCAAGGCACGCGAGCAGCAGCAGCUCAUGGCGUUCUGGGCAUCGCUGCUGUUGGUUCACCUCGGUGGACAGGACAGCAUCACUGCCUACGCUUUGGCGGACAACGAGUUAUGGCUGCGCCACCUAUUUACUCUCGUGGUGCAGGCAGCAGGAGCUACAUAUGUUUUGUACAAGUACUUUGCCGGCGGUAGUAGGGCCUUGCUCGCUGCAGCUGUGUUGAUGUUCCUUGUGGGUGUUGGCAAGUACCUGGAGAGGAUAUUUGCUCUCUACUUCUCUGGCCUUGAAAACAUCAGCAAGUUCCUCGACCGCUUGGAGGUACCGAAGAAAGCCAGGAACUCGGAGUACCGAAUCCCAGCUUGUUUGGAUAAUGAGGAAAGUAUCCUGCAGGGAGCUCAUGACCUCCUCCAUCUCUGCAUGGGCCAGUUUGCUGAUUUCAAGGUGUGCCCGUCCCCGUUCCAAAUCGGGGCCAUAAUGGUCUAUUGUGAUGAUACUUAUCCCGAUACUACUCCCGUGGGGAGCAAGUUGCUGCAAUUAGUCGGGAUGCAACUCUCCUUGAUGCGGGACAUCCUCUACACUAAGGCGGCGGUGAUCCACACAUGGCACGGACGAGUGUCCCGCAUUGUCUCGACGGUGUUUACCGUCGUGGCGUUCUACCUGUUCCAUCAGUCUACCAAGGUGGGCUCCGGUUACAGCAAGGGUGACAUGGUGGUCACCUACAUCUUGUUGGCUGGGGCAUUUUCCCUGGAGGUGGCAUCCCUGUUGAGGGCAGCCUUCUCAACUUGGACAUGCACCUGGUUACGAGCUGCUGGUUGGAACCGGCUCCAUUGUGCUGUGGUGUAUGUUCGCCAGGGUAUCAGGGUUGCACAAACAUGCAGGAGGUGGCCAGGUACCAUCGGGCAGUACGAUCUGUCGCGAUUCUACAUGCACAGUCGCACUGGUGCAUGCUACAUGGUAGCACAUUUAUUCAGGCUGGAGCACUGGUUGAACAAGCUGCGUUUCUCCGGCUCUGUUGCCAUCUCUCUUCAAGAGGAGAUUACCUUGGUAAAUCAUAUAUGUUGGAUGGUUGUAUACUGUGGAGGAGAUGAGCAAAUGAUGUGGGGUUUCCGUGGCCAGUUUGCCCUCUCGCGCCAAGAUUGGAGCAGGGACAUCUAUGAUGCUCUCAAUACUGACAAGGCUGCUUUUCAUGGAAGCAUACUCACCUGGCACUACGCCACUGAUGCCCUCCUUUAAUUUUUUGAUUUGUGUACUAUGGACAGCGACAACUUGUCACGUCAUCCUAGGCGGGCAGAUCUAGACAUGGUACGCAAUAUGAGAGAGUCGGUAGGACGCAUAAGCAGCGAAGAUAUGAUAAGGACAGUGCAAUUAGCCAAGGCGAUCCGUACACUGUCGAGGUACAUGGUUUUCCUCCUCGUGGAGCGGCCUCACUUGCUUCCCAGCCCUGUUCGUCGCAUCCAGUACGAGAGUUUCCGUGCAGGGUUCCGGGAGUUUCGAGCCAUCAGGGAAGGAGAUGAAGUACCCAUAGCGAUCCUCCCAGCAGUAUGGCUUGCAACCAGGCUGAUCUUUGGACAUAUACGCGUCUAUCCACGUGUUCCUGUGGUGAUGGAAGUGGUCUUUCAUGUGUGGGUGGAGAUGCUGUGCUACGCGGCCAAUCACUGCAGGAACGACACCCAUGCCAGGCAGCUCGGGAGCGGCACUGAGCUCAUCACCAUCGUGUGGCUUCUGACGAGCACCUUGUACAAUGGAGUUAACCACAAGAAAAUAUCUUACAAAACAAAAGCGCGAUACUUCAUGGAAAGGCACGACAGGCAGACAGGAGCGCAAGACAAAGAACUCUUCGACAUGGAGAAGACUCUAUAUUGGGUGAUGAAAGACAGGGAAGAACAGGUACAAGAAGAGGAGGAGAAUCUGCCAACAUCGCCUUAA